This 506-nucleotide ribosomal RNA is filed under the name uncultured Glomeromycotina. RNAcentral describes it as "partial small subunit ribosomal RNA". It matches the Rfam family "Eukaryotic small subunit ribosomal RNA", at positions 591 to 1092 of the family's 1831-position model. Lineage: Eukaryota; Fungi; Glomeromycota. The record is from RNAcentral.
CCAAUAGCGUAUAUUAAAGUUGUUGCAGUUAAAAAGCUCGUAGUUGACUUUCGGGAUUGACACAUCGGUCGUGCCUUAAGGGGUAUGAACUGGUGUAGUCAAUUUCUCACCUUCUGGAGAACCGCGAUGCCCUUAAUUGGGUGUCGCGGGGAACCAGGACCUUUACUUUGAAAAAAUUAGAGUGUUUAAAGCAGGCAUUUUGCUUGAAUACAUUAGCAUGGAAUAAUAAAAUAGGACGGCAUGAUUCUAUUUUGUUGGUUUCUAGGAUCACCGUAAUGAUUAAUAGGGAUAGUUGGGGGCAUUAGUAUUCAAUUGUCAGAGGUGAAAUUCUUGGAUUUAUUGAAGACUAACUACUGCGAAAGCAUUUGCCAAGGAUGUUUUCAUUAAUCAAGAACGAAAGUUAGGGGAUCGAAGACGAUCAGAUACCGUCGUAGUCUUAACCAUAAACUAUGCCGACUAGGAAUCAGACGAUGUUAAUUUUUUAAUGACUCGUUUGGCACCUUACG